AAGUCGUAACAAGGUUUCCGUAGGUGAACCUGCGGAAGGAUCAUUAUUGAAUAAACUUGAUAGGCUGUUGCUGGCUCCCCUACAUGGGGGGGCAUGUGCACGCUUGUCAUCUUUAUUUCUCCACCUGUGCACUCUUUGUAGACCCUAGAGAAAAGUAAUUGUCUGAGAAAAUCAGAUAGAUUGAGGACUGCUGUUGUCUUUCAAUGGAGGGCGCCAGCUUUGCCUUGUGUAUCUAGGUUCUAUGUCAUUCACAUGCUCCUAUCAAUGUAAUAGAAUGUUGACCUGGGUCUUUAGUACCUA
Molecule: unclassified non-coding RNA, 300 nt
Filed under: Inocybe sp.
Lineage: Eukaryota; Fungi; Basidiomycota; Agaricomycetes; Agaricales; Inocybaceae
Description: partial contains small subunit ribosomal RNA and internal transcribed spacer 1
Rfam family: Eukaryotic small subunit ribosomal RNA (bases 1-46)
Source: RNAcentral